CGGGGUGAGUAACGCGUGGAUAACCUGCCUCACACAGGGGACGAACAGCUGGAAACGGCUGCUAAUACCGCAUAACACAAGUAAUUCGCAUGGAUAACUUGCCAAAGAUUUUAUCGGUGUGAGAUGGAUCCGCGUCUGAUUAGCCAGUUGGCGGGGUAACGGCCCACCAAAGCGACGAUCAGUAGCCGACCUGAGAGGGUGACCGGCCACAUUGGGACUGAGACACGGCCCAA
This 233-nucleotide ribosomal RNA is filed under the name uncultured bacterium. Its description in RNAcentral is "partial 16S ribosomal RNA". It matches the Rfam family "Bacterial small subunit ribosomal RNA", at positions 104 to 334 of the family's 1533-position model. The record is from RNAcentral.